GCCCGAGUAGCUCAGUCGGCAGAGCGGCUCACUCGUAAUGAGCAGGUCAGCGGUUCAAUUCCGCUCUCGGGCUCCA
RNAcentral lists this transfer RNA (76 nucleotides) under Acidimicrobiia bacterium. RNAcentral's name for it is "tRNA-Thr". It matches the Rfam family "tRNA". From Rfam's summary of the family: Transfer RNA (tRNA) molecules are approximately 80 nucleotides in length. Their secondary structure includes four short double-helical elements and three loops (D, anti-codon, and T loops). Further hydrogen bonds mediate the characteristic L-shaped molecular structure. tRNAs have two regions of fundamental functional importance: the anti-codon, which is responsible for specific mRNA codon recognition, and the 3' end, to which the tRNAs corresponding amino acid is attached (by aminoacyl-tRNA synthetases). tRNAs cope with the degeneracy of the genetic code in two manners: having more than one tRNA (with a specific anti-codon) for a particular amino acid; and 'wobble' base-pairing, i.e. permitting non-standard base-pairing at the 3rd anti-codon position. Lineage: Bacteria; Bacillati; Actinomycetota; Acidimicrobiia. The record is from RNAcentral.